This 465-nucleotide ribosomal RNA is filed under the name Vreelandella stevensii. Its description in RNAcentral is "partial 16S ribosomal RNA". It matches the Rfam family "Bacterial small subunit ribosomal RNA", at positions 338 to 795 of the family's 1533-position model. The record is from RNAcentral. Lineage: Bacteria; Pseudomonadati; Pseudomonadota; Gammaproteobacteria; Oceanospirillales; Halomonadaceae.
CCUACGGGGGGCAGCAGUGGGGAAUAUUGGACAAUGGGGGCAACCCUGAUCCAACCAUGCCGCGUGUGUGAAGAAGGCCCUCGGGUUGUAAAGCACUUUCAGUGAGGAAGAACGCCUGGUGGUUAAUACCCAUCAGGAAAGACAUCACUCACAGAAGAAGCACCGGCUAACUCCGUGCCAGCAGCCGCGGUAAUACGGAGGGUGCGAGCGUUAAUCGGAAUUACUGGGCGUAAAGCGCGCGUAGGUGGCUUGAUAAGCCGGUUGUGAAAGCCCCGGGCUCGACCUGGGAACGGCAUCCGGAACUGUCAAGCUAGAGUGUAGGAGAGGAAGGUAGAAUUCCCGGUGUAGCGGUGAAAUGCGUAGAGAUCGGGAGGAACACCAGUGGCGAAGGCGGCCUUCUGGACUGACACUGACGCUGAGGUGCGAAAGCGUGGGUAGCAAACAGGAUUAGAUACCCGUGUAGUC